AUAAAAGUAAAUUGAGUUGUCAAAAAAAAAAUUCUAAGUUCAAACUUAGGUUAGAAAUUUUUAGGUUAAAUUGACGUAGAUUCGACAACGCUUCGCUCUAGCCAAAAUUGAACUCUCUCGGUGUCAAAUUUGCGCGGCCUUAUAUACCCUUUUUGGACAAAGGCUUCUUGGAUAUCCGAAUAUGAUCGCCUCAGUUUGAAUCUGGGCUCUCUGAUUGGUUGAUAAAAUGGCGGGAAUUAUAAAUUACACAGAUAAUCGCGCUUUCGGGUGUCAAAUUCCUUCGAGAAAUUCGUAAUUUGAUGUUAAAGUUUGGAAA
RNAcentral lists this long non-coding RNA (316 nucleotides) under Onthophagus taurus. RNAcentral describes it as "uncharacterized LOC111415133, transcript variant X1". The record is from RNAcentral. Lineage: Eukaryota; Metazoa; Arthropoda; Insecta; Coleoptera; Scarabaeidae.